RNAcentral lists this ribosomal RNA (253 nucleotides) under uncultured bacterium. RNAcentral describes it as "partial 16S ribosomal RNA". It matches the Rfam family "Bacterial small subunit ribosomal RNA", at positions 524 to 776 of the family's 1533-position model. The record is from RNAcentral.
UACAGAGGUCUCAAGCGUUGUUCGGAUUCACUGGGCGUAAAGGGUGCGUAGGCGGUGAGGUAAGUCUGAUGUGAAAGCUCGCGGCUCAACCGCGAAAUGGCAUUGGAAACUGCCUUGCUCGAGGAGUGGAGGGGGGACUGGAAUGCUCGGUGUAGCAGUGAAAUGCGUAGAGAUCGAGCGGAACACCGGUGGCGAAGGCGAGUCCCUGGACACUUCCUGACGCUGAGGCACGAAAGCCAGGGGAGCAAACAGG